Molecule: long non-coding RNA, 2462 nt
Organism: Ictalurus furcatus (blue catfish)
Lineage: Eukaryota; Metazoa; Chordata; Actinopteri; Siluriformes; Ictaluridae
Exons: 2
Source: RefSeq, a predicted model, not a curated record
GACCGCGUCCCAAACACGCCGCCUUUUAUUACACACGCAGUGUACUGCAGCCUUCAACGUGUAUCUGAUGUAGGCCGCCUAGAGAGGGAGGAGCGAGCGGAUUGGGACGCGGCCCUGUAACUGCGCUUUACAUAUCGGGCAAGUCAUGGAAAUGCGUUUCAAAGGGAAUGUGGGGGAAGAACUUCAGGAUUAACAACAACAAAUCUUUGCUUGUAUUUUUCUCAUUUACUGGCAGUGGAGUACAGCAGUUCAGGACAGGAAACAGGGAGAUGGUGGUACACGCUGCGGCCAAGACGAUCGUCUGUAACCUCCCACAUCUUUGUUUCCUUCACAUGUUCAUCAUGAAAUCUUCUCCGACGUCCUCUCAUACAGCAGACUGCUCUGCGACACGAGAGGCGAAGGUCCAUACGUUAAAUCAUUACUCGCCUUAUUUUGCAUGUUUAUAGUGUUCUAUAGCGUGCAUCAAAGUGAUGUCAUGACAAUCCUGGCUAAUGCUAACUCUAGUUGAACCUCUGCUUUGUGCUUAUUGGUUGGGGAAAAGGAAGGCGGGCUCAAAGACUAAAAUAAUAAUAAUAAUAAUUCACAUCUUAUUCAGCUCCACCUACUGAAGUUUUGAGAAAUCUUAUCUAAUGACCCUUUACAUACACGAACAGCCUAUAGAUGCAGUGUGCUACUGUUCUCCCAGGGCUAGAUACUUGGGAAGCUCAGCCAUGGUCCUAUAUAUAUACAGACCACAGACACACGCUCUGAGCACUCGUUUGCUGUUAGAAGAGCUAAUCUGAUAACACUGUGUGGGUUUACACAUCCAAAACAAUCUGCUAAUGGGAAGAAAAGAAUAGUGUAGUGAUUUUCACAAUUCACAUGAUCACAGAACUUCACAGAAAUGCAGAUAUAGACCGCUAUCUAAGGCAGUGGUUUUCAAAGUGGGGGCCCCCCUGGCGGCCUCAACAAUUUGGUCAGAGCCACCAAGCCCACCCCUCCCACUAGUAUGUUUUUUCUGUCUCACUCUCAGACAACCACACACACACACAAUCAAUUCCUAAUGUAAUGUAAUGUAAAGAUGUAAUUAUUAAUAAUAAAAAAAGCGGAUAUAUUCAGAAGUCUGUAUUUUUUUUAAUGUGUUUUAAAGACAUCUUGCAUCUCGGUCAAAUGAUAAUGCCAUUUCGGGGGCCUUGCCCUGGAAAAGUUUGGGAACCGCUGAUCUAAGGAACUAGUCAGCGGUGACGGUGGAGAGAUGACAAGAGGAAGAAACCUUCGAAACAAACCAGACUCUAAAGGGUAUUUCUGUGUGACACCAGAUAGUCUGAUUAUAAAUCACUGCAUGACCGGUGUAGAAGAGUAACGUGUGUGGAAAGGAUGUUCCGUAUGAACAAACUGUGUACAAGUGUCCUGGCAUGAGCACAGGACAGGCUGUACGAUUACAUUAGAAUUUGAUCAACACAUUUGUUAUAGUCACAUUCAUAUAGCGCUUUUCUACACACUCAAAGCUCUUUACAGUGUAUGGAGGGGAGAUGAGGAGAGGAGAGGAGAGUGAGAUGUAGCCAAUUUUGUACAUGUGCACAAAUACAUCUGUAUUUUAUUUAGAAUAGCUAAGAAUUGUGGUACAACUACAUUACUUUUAUUGCUUACAAAAGAAACAAACAUGAAUAACACACUUGGUUCAACCCACUGAAAUUCUUUGCUGGGUCCACAUCUGGAUCACGCUCUAACAGCUGAAGAGACUCUUCAUUUUUGGAACCGCUUAUAAAAUACAUCGGCUACAUUUACACACACACCCCAAUAUUUUCAUAUUAAUCAGAAUUUGGCAAUAUUCUAAUUAGUAUCGAGUCAAACCGAUUGCCCGAUUCAGAUAUUACUCAGACAAUAUUCCGAUUCCCCACCCUGGAGUAUGCCUGUUAAUUGGAAAUUUGUUGCAUGUAAAACGCCUUAUUCAGAAAAUCAACUGAAAGGAGAUACAUGUGCGUGCUAACCGGAGAUCGACCGUUAAGCAUUUUUCCAUAAUCUGUUAUCGUUUUUUUUUUUUUUUUUUUAAAUAUCAGCUCUCGUGGGCACUUUGAGAAUUGCACAAGACCACAAUAACCGGCAUUAAUGUCCAAAUUAGAGGUGUUCCAUAAACGCUUGAUCUGUAGUUUAAGCAGCUUGGCUCUGAGAAAUAGAGACUGUCACUUAAAUCUGUUUAUCUCAAAGCUUUUAUUAAGAACAUUUUAAGAACAGUGCACGUUAUUUAUUUAUUUAUUUUUUUUGCACUCUUUCAGACUCCUCUUUAUUGGUGUAUAAAUAAGAGUUGUUUGGUAUGCAAGGAGGAAGUGAUCUUGACAAAACCGUUUUAUUUAUAACGGUUUGUUUAGUUCUGUGGUGUUCGUGUCAAAAACAGCAGUAAAACAAUAAACGGGUCGGCGUAUUGUUUUUUUGGGCACAUAAACAUGCAAAUAUCGGUAUUGGUUUAAAAAAAAAAAAAAGAA